Molecule: ribosomal RNA, 254 nt
Filed under: uncultured bacterium
Lineage: Bacteria
Description: partial 16S ribosomal RNA
Rfam family: Bacterial small subunit ribosomal RNA
Source: RNAcentral
UACGGGGGGAGCAAGCGUUGUUCGGAUUUACUGGGCGUAAAGGGCGCGUAGGCGGCCACCGCAAGUCGACUGUGAAAUCUCCGGGCUUAACCCUGGAACUGCAUCCGAAACUACCUAGCUAGAGUCCUGGAGAGGAAGGCAGAAUUCCCGGUGUAGGGGUGAAAUCCGUAGAUACCGGGAGGAAUACCAGUAGCGAAGGCGGCCUUCUGGACAGUGACUGACGCUCAGACGCGAAAGCGUGGGGAGCAAACAGG